Salmo salar (Atlantic salmon) is the source of this 54-nucleotide non-coding RNA. The record is from Rfam. NCBI's taxonomy places the organism in Eukaryota, Metazoa, Chordata, Actinopteri, Salmoniformes, Salmonidae.
UGCAUUCACUACCGUAAGUCGCUCUGGAUAAGAGCGUCUGCUAAAUCACUAAAA